ACGAAUAGUCCUUAGUCUUGCCGGCUCUAUUUAGAAUAGAGCCAGCAUGAAUAGUCCUCAGGAUUAUUCGUGCCGGCUCACGUGCGAAAUCGGAAAUUCAAAAACUCGCAACUUUUACAUAUGAAUUCGGAUGGAGAGAAACUUUAUAUGAAAAAUUUAUGUUUCGACGGGAUCUAAAACUUUGUAGUUAAAAGUUUUUUAUUUGAAGUCAUUAGAUGUCUAAAAUUGUAAUGUUAACAUGUCUUUUUUGUCCUUGUAAUUUGAAGUUCAUGUUUUAUUUAAAAAUUCGUAAAUUUUUUAUAUGGACUCGCUUGAAGACAAAUUUUACAUGAAAGUUGUGGGUUCCAACGUGACCUUCAAUUUUGUAGUUGUAGGUUUUUAAAUUUGAAGUCAUUUAUCAUUCAACUCUAUUUCCCGCCCUUCUUUCCCGCUGUUUUCUAAUUUGAACUUUAGGAUGUCUACGGAAAAUUCAUAAUUUUUGCACAUGUUCUCUGAUCGAGAUAAACUUUAUACAAAAAUUGUACAUUUUGACGAGAUCUACAACUAACUAUGUAGUUGAUAGUUUUUUAUUUAAAGUCAUUUAAACGCCAAAAUAAUAAACUAGAAAAUUGCAAUUGGUUAAGUCCUCAAAUUACAAAAUAAUAACUCAGUUACAACUACACAAUGAAGUCAGGCACACAUCACCACAAUUGGCAUUGGGCACUAAUCUACUUACAACUGGAGCUGUUAACUGAUAUAUCCUCACCCACACACAUUCGGUGACCUAUCGUUCUAAUGCACCCACACCCAACCAGUUGUAGCUAGAGCAUCAUAACACUUGCACAAUCAGGACAAUUAAACUACCCAUGGCACAUCACCGCCACACGUAAUCAAAAUUUAUCAAGACCUCACGUCAGUUGGAACUAGUAGCUACGAUGCGUCCUAAUUCAAAAGUCGAAA
Molecule: long non-coding RNA, 939 nt
Filed under: Setaria viridis
Lineage: Eukaryota; Viridiplantae; Streptophyta; Magnoliopsida; Poales; Poaceae
Description: long non-coding RNA (SVIR_LNC003628)
Source: RNAcentral